UACGGGGGGGGCAAGCGUUGUUCGGAAUUACUGGGCGUAAAGGGCUUGUAGGCGGCCAACUAAGUCAGACGUGAAAUCCCUCGGCUUAACCGGGGAACUGCGUCUGAUACUGGAUGGCUUGAGUUCGGGAGAGGGAUGCGGAAUUCCAGGUGUAGCGGUGAAAUGCGUAGAGAUGUGGAGGAAUGCCGAUGGCGAAGGCAGCCUCCUGGGCCAACACUGACGCUCAUGCACGAAAGCGUGGGGAGCAAACAGG
This 253-nucleotide ribosomal RNA is filed under the name uncultured bacterium. RNAcentral describes it as "partial 16S ribosomal RNA". It matches the Rfam family "Bacterial small subunit ribosomal RNA", at positions 524 to 776 of the family's 1533-position model. The record is from RNAcentral.